Molecule: small nuclear RNA, 107 nt
Organism: Vicugna pacos (alpaca)
Lineage: Eukaryota; Metazoa; Chordata; Mammalia; Artiodactyla; Camelidae
Source: RefSeq, a predicted model, not a curated record
AUGCUCACUUCGGGAGCACAUAUACUAAAACUGGAACAACACAGAGAAGAUUAGCAUGGCCCCUGCACAAGGACGACAUGCAAAUUCGUGGAGUGUUCCACAUCUUU